RNAcentral lists this ribosomal RNA (675 nucleotides) under uncultured bacterium. RNAcentral describes it as "bacterial SSU rRNA". It matches the Rfam family "Bacterial small subunit ribosomal RNA", at positions 64 to 774 of the family's 1533-position model. The record is from RNAcentral.
GAACGGAGAAUUGCUAGCUUGCUAAUAAUUCUCUAGUGGCGCACGGGUGAGUAACACGUGAGUACCUGCCCCCAAGAGUGGGAUAGCCCCGGGAAACUGGGAUUAAUACCGCAUAAAGCAAUAAAGCAGCAAUGCGCUUGGGGAUGGGCUCGCGUCCUAUUAGUUAGUUGGUGAGGUAACGGCUCACCAAGGCGAUGACGGGUAGCCGGUCUGAGAGGAUGUCCGGCCACACUGGAACUGAGACACGGUCCAGACACCUACGGGUGGCAGCAGUCGAGAAUCAUUCACAAUGGGGGAAACCCUGAUGGUGCGACGCCGCGUGGGGGAUAAGGUCUUCGGAUUGUAAACCCCUGUCAUGUGGGACAUUAAAAGAUAGUACCACAAGAGGAAGAGACGGCUAACUCUGUGCCAGCAGCCGCGGUAAUACAGAGGUCUCAAGCGUUGUUCGGAAUCACUGGGCGUAAAGCGUGCGUAGGCGGUUUCGUAAGUCGUGUGUGAAAGGCGGGGGCUCAACCCCCGGACUGCACAUGAUACUGCGAGACUAGAGUAAUGGAGGGGGAACCGGAAUUCUCGGUGUAGCAGUGAAAUGCGUAGAUAUCGAGAGGAACACUCGUGGCGAAGGCGGGUUCCUGGACAUUAACUGACGCUGAGGCACGAAGGCCAGGGGAGCGAAAG